Molecule: ribosomal RNA, 492 nt
Filed under: uncultured bacterium
Lineage: Bacteria
Description: partial 16S ribosomal RNA
Rfam family: Bacterial small subunit ribosomal RNA
Source: RNAcentral
AGUGAACGCUGGCGGUAGGCCUAACACAUGCAAGUCGAACGGCAGCACAGUAAGAGCUUGCUCUUGCGGGUGGCGAGUGGCGGACGGGUGAGGAAUACAUCGGAAUCUACUUUUUCGUGGGGGAUAACGUAGGGAAACUUACGCUAAUACCGCAUACGACCUACGGGUGAAAGCAGGGGAUCUUCGGACCUUGCGCGAUUGAAUGAGCCGAUGUCGGAUUAGCUAGUUGGCGGGGUAAAGGCCCACCAAGGCGACGAUCCGUAGCUGGUCUGAGAGGAUGAUGAGCCACACUGGAACUGAGACACGGUCCAGACUCCGAGGGGAGGCAGCAGUGGGGAAUAGUGGACAAUGGGCGGAAGCCUGAUCCAGCCAUACCGGGUGGGUGCAGAAGGCCUUCGGGUUGUAAAGCGCUUUUGUGGGGAAAGAAAAGCAGCAGGUUAAUACCCCGCUGUUCUGACGGUACCCAAAGAAUAAGCACCGGCUAACUUCGUG